UACGGAGGGUGCAAACGUUGCUCGGAAUCAUUGGGCGUAAAGCGCACGUAGGCGGUCGGCUAUGUCGGAUGUGAAAGCCUCGGGCUUAACCCGAGAAGGGCAUCCGAAACUGGCCGGCUUGAGUAUGGAAGAGGGUCUCGGAAUUCCCGGUGUAGAGGUGAAAUUCGUAGAUAUCGGGAGGAACACCAGUGGCGAAGGCGGAGACCUGGGCCGAUACUGACGCUGAGGUGCGAAAGCGUGGGGAGCGAACAGG
This 253-nucleotide ribosomal RNA is filed under the name uncultured bacterium. Its description in RNAcentral is "partial 16S ribosomal RNA". It matches the Rfam family "Bacterial small subunit ribosomal RNA", at positions 524 to 776 of the family's 1533-position model. The record is from RNAcentral.